UUCUCUUCACAUCCGGAGAGACAUGGGACCGCAACCGCAAAGGGCAUGAGCGCUUGGUGACUCACAGGGCGCGCGAGGAACCUAUUUCUGGGCCGUAUAUAUAGAGCCAUGCGCACAUGUGGAGACAAAGUUCUACUACAGUAGUUGACAGACAGGAGACAAAAGACUGAAUCUAAAGGACAGACAGAGCAGUGUGGUCAGAUUUUGGAACGCAGGGUUUUUUUCAUGUGCGUGUUCUUCAUUGCACUGUCCUUGUUCAUUCCUGUUGAUUGUUGAACAACUGAAUGGCAAUGUGAGAUCGUGUCAUUGUAAUACCUUAACUAUGGGACUAAGAUACAAUAUGCUUGCCCUAUAGUCCUAGUGAAAGUUGGAUAACGCAACUAAGAAGGCUGCCAUGAAUUCAAAUGGGGAAAAAAACAUAGCUAAAUAUUUCAUUAAACUAAUAGGGAGUCUUUCAAAUGUGGGAAACAUGAAUGAACAUAGUAGACAUGUUUAGACAUAGUAGACAUGUUUUCUAAGCAUGACCAGAAUGGGAAUAAACUACAUCAUGACCAGAAUGGGAAUAAACUACAUUAUGACCAGAAUGGGAAUACACUACAGCAUGACCAGAAUGGGAAUAAACUACAUCAUGACCAGAAUGGGAACAAACUACAGCAUGACCAGAAUGGGAAUAAACUACAUUAUGACCAGAAUGGGAAUAAACUACAGCAUGACCAGAAUGGGAAUAAACUACAUCAUGACCAGAAUGGGAAUAAACUACAUCAUGACCAGAAUGGGAAUAAACUACAUUAUGACCAGAAUGGGAAUAAACUACAUCAUGACCAGAUUGCACUGUGAUGGUCCUGAUGUUUCAGAGCAGAAGUGAUAAAGACUGUCCAUCUUCAACCAAAGAUACAGCCUCUGCAUUGGCUGAAGAAUCGUAAAAGGCACCUUCAAAUCCCACCACUUCCACAACUGACUGUGCUUCCCUCUGGGCUGGUGAAAUAUUACUCUACCCUGCUGUACAUCCAGUUUCCUCUCCCAAAACAUUGACAUGUGUGUUAUGUGCUGAAGUGUGUGUGACUCACGGGAUAUAAGAGUAAAAACAAACUGGAAUGGAACGCACUCCAGCUGAGUCACUCUGUGACUCACACACUUAAAAUACACCUUCAGCAAUUAACAACUGCUUUGAACUAAGAACCUGUUCUUUCUUGUAUGGGUGGGUGUCAGAGGAGGCUGGUGGAAGGCGCUAUAGGAGGAUGGGCUCAUUGUAUUGUCUGGAAUGGAAUUAAUGGAACGGUAUCAAACACGUGUAACAAAUGAAACAUGUUUGACUCCGUUCCAUUUUAAUAUGUCUGAUGUGUGGAGUAAUUACAAUGUUGUUGAUCCAUCCUCAGUUUUCUCCUAUCACAGCCAUUCAAAUCUGUAGCUGUUUUAAAGUCAUCAUUGGCCUCAUGGUGAAAUCCCUGAGCGGUUUCCAUCCUCUCCGGCAACUGAGUUAGGAAGGACGCCUGUAUCUUUGUAGUGAC
RNAcentral lists this long non-coding RNA (1508 nucleotides) under Salmo salar (Atlantic salmon). RNAcentral describes it as "lncRNA (ENSSSAG00000101239.1)". The record is from RNAcentral. Lineage: Eukaryota; Metazoa; Chordata; Actinopteri; Salmoniformes; Salmonidae.